RNAcentral lists this small RNA (139 nucleotides) under Bacillus massilioanorexius. RNAcentral's name for it is "ydaO/yuaA leader". It matches the Rfam family "c-di-AMP riboswitch aptamer (ydaO/yuaA leader)". Rfam says of the family: This family represents a conserved RNA structure found upstream of the ydaO and yuaA genes in Bacillus subtilis and related genes in other bacteria. The ydaO/yuaA element is thought to act as a genetic "off" switch for the ydaO and yuaA genes in its native state. Lineage: Bacteria; Bacillati; Bacillota; Bacilli; Caryophanales; Bacillaceae. The record is from RNAcentral.
AAAUCGCUUAAUCAUUAUGAGCGGGGGACCCAUAAUAGGAUGAAUAAUGUCCUGCCGGGGUGAAUCCUACGUUUUGUAGGUAGGGAUACUCUUCUGUCCCGAAUCCGACAGCUAACCUCGUAAGCGUUGUGAGAGGGGA